Molecule: ribosomal RNA, 465 nt
Filed under: uncultured bacterium
Lineage: Bacteria
Description: partial 16S ribosomal RNA
Rfam family: Bacterial small subunit ribosomal RNA
Source: RNAcentral
GAUGAACGCUGGCGGCGUGCUUAACACAUGCAAGUCGAACGAACAGGCGCCCUUGUUGGGUACCUGAGUGGCGAACGGGAGGGUAACGCGACAGUAACCUACCCUUGCCAUUGGGCUAAGUUAAGGACACUGGGGCGAAUCCCGUACCGGAGCACCUGCUGCAUGGUGUGGGUUGGUAAGUUUGGGCGGUUGUGGUUGGACUCGCGGCUUAUCAGCUUGUUGGUGGGGUAGUGGCUCACGAAGCCGCUGACGGGUAGCCGGCAUGGGAGGGUGACCGGCCACAUUGCGACUGAGAUACGGACCAGAAUCCUACGGGAGGCAGCAGUGGGGAAUAUUGCACAAUGGGCGGAAGCCUGAUGCAGCAACGCCGCGUGCGGGAUGACGGCCUUCGGGUUGUAAACCGCUUUCGCCUGUGACGAAGCGUGAGUGACGGUAAUGGGUAAAGAAGCACCGGCUAACUACGUG